This 689-nucleotide ribosomal RNA is filed under the name Isotricha sp. Its description in RNAcentral is "SSU rRNA". It matches the Rfam family "Eukaryotic small subunit ribosomal RNA", at positions 109 to 926 of the family's 1831-position model. Lineage: Eukaryota; Ciliophora; Litostomatea; Vestibuliferida; Isotrichidae. The record is from RNAcentral.
GUUAUAGUUUAUUUGAUACAUUAAAUGGAUAACUGUAGAAAAACUAGAGCUAAUACAUGCCAAGGCCGCAAGGUCGUAUUUAUUAGAUAACUUAAAUAUGAAUCAUAGUAACUUAGCAAAUCUCAAUUUCAUUGAGAUAUAUCAUCCAAGUUUCUGCCCUAUCAGCUUUCGAUGGUAGUGUAUUGGACUACCAUGGCUCUCACGGGUAACAGGGAAUUAGGGUUCGAUUCUGGAGAAGGAGCCUGAGAAACGGCUACUACAUCUACGGAAGGCAGCAGGCGCGUAAAUUACCCAAUCCUGACUCAGGGAGGUGGUGACAAGAUAUAAUGACGCUAUGAAAAAUAGUGAUUAUAGUGAGGGUAUUCCAAACCGAACCACAAGUACGAUUAGAGGGCAAGUCUGGUGCCAGCAGCCGCGGUAAUUCCAGCUCUAAUAGCGUAUAUUAAAGUUGCUGCAGUUAAAAAGCUCGUAGUUGGAUUUCAAGGAACACGUAUUCCCCCGGAAUAUGUGCCCUACUAGCCCUGGGCUGUUACUGUGAGAAAAUUAGAGUGUUUAAAGCAAGCUUUUGCAAGAAUACAUUAGCAUGGAAUAACGAAUGAGUCUAGAAUCUAGGUUUAAUUCUAGAUCUCGAUUAAUAGAGACAGUUGGGGGCAUUAGUAUUUAAUUGUCAGAGGUGAAAUUCUUGGAUU